RNAcentral lists this ribosomal RNA (520 nucleotides) under uncultured Glomus. Its description in RNAcentral is "SSU rRNA". It matches the Rfam family "Eukaryotic small subunit ribosomal RNA", at positions 569 to 1092 of the family's 1831-position model. Lineage: Eukaryota; Fungi; Glomeromycota; Glomeromycetes; Glomerales; Glomeraceae. The record is from RNAcentral.
AGCAGCCGCGGUAAUUCCAGCUCCAAUAGCGUAUAUUAAAGUUGUUGCAGUUAAAAAGCUCGUAGUUGAAUUUCGGGACCAAUUUGUUGGUCGUGCCUCGGUACGUACUGGUAUUAUUGGUUUCUCCCUUCUGAAGAACCUCGAUGUCAUUAAUUUGGUGUCGUGGGGAAUCAGGACUGUUACUUUGAAAAAAUUAGAGUGUUUAAAGCAGGCAUACGCUUGAAUACAUUAGCAUGGAAUAAUGAAAUAGGACGUUUGAUUCUAUUUUGUUGGUUUCUAGGAUCGACGUAAUGAUUAAUAGGGAUAGUUGGGGGCAUUAGUAUUCAAUUGUCAGAGGUGAAAUUCUUGGAUUUAUUGAAGACUAACUACUGCGAAAGCAUUUGCCAAGGAUGUUUUCAUUAAUCAAGAACGAAAGUUAGGGGAUCGAAGACGAUCAGAUACCGUCGUAGUCUUAACCAUAAACUAUGCCGACUAGGGAUCGGAUGAUGUUAAUUUUUAAUGACUCAUUCGGCGCCUUACG